GGUGAACACAGCAAGAAUGAGCCCCAUUGAGUUGAACCAAGCCAUGAAACUUGGACAUCUGCAUGACUGUGCUUUGACGAAACAUCUUGCAUCUAUUCGACUCCACCAUGCGGUAUCUUGGCCAUAGAACAAGAUGAAAGACUUCAGUAUUUACAUCUGGUACUUUCUACCAAGUGUCUGGGGACUUUCCCCGAAGCCAACAUGGUGAGACACUCGACAAAAACUUAAUAAAUCCGAGGAUAAAUCAAAAUUUUUGCAAGCUCUCCGUUUCUUGCUUCGUAGCAGAUCUUCGCUGUGUCCACGUGGACACGAUGACACGCAGAUAUUUUUAUAUGAAAAUUUGAACCAAUCAGAAUACGUGAUUUCUAACCAAUCAAA
Molecule: non-coding RNA, 378 nt
Organism: Paramuricea clavata
Lineage: Eukaryota; Metazoa; Cnidaria; Anthozoa; Malacalcyonacea; Plexauridae
Source: the annotation of a GenBank genome assembly